RNAcentral lists this transfer RNA (83 nucleotides) under Candidatus Shikimatogenerans bostrichidophilus. Its description in RNAcentral is "tRNA-Ser". It matches the Rfam family "tRNA". From Rfam's summary of the family: Transfer RNA (tRNA) molecules are approximately 80 nucleotides in length. Their secondary structure includes four short double-helical elements and three loops (D, anti-codon, and T loops). Further hydrogen bonds mediate the characteristic L-shaped molecular structure. tRNAs have two regions of fundamental functional importance: the anti-codon, which is responsible for specific mRNA codon recognition, and the 3' end, to which the tRNAs corresponding amino acid is attached (by aminoacyl-tRNA synthetases). tRNAs cope with the degeneracy of the genetic code in two manners: having more than one tRNA (with a specific anti-codon) for a particular amino acid; and 'wobble' base-pairing, i.e. permitting non-standard base-pairing at the 3rd anti-codon position. Lineage: Bacteria; Pseudomonadati; Bacteroidota; Flavobacteriia; Flavobacteriales. The record is from RNAcentral.
GGAGAGUUGCCGGAGUGGUUUAUCGGACCAGUUUGCUAAACUGGCAGUUAAAUGCUACAUGGGUUCGAAUCCCAUACUCUCCG